RNAcentral lists this ribosomal RNA (996 nucleotides) under Niallia circulans. RNAcentral describes it as "bacterial SSU rRNA". It matches the Rfam family "Bacterial small subunit ribosomal RNA", at positions 56 to 1035 of the family's 1533-position model. Lineage: Bacteria; Bacillati; Bacillota; Bacilli; Caryophanales; Bacillaceae. The record is from RNAcentral.
UGCAGUCGAGCGGACUUUAAAAGCUUGCUUUUAAAGUUAGCGGCGGACGGGUGAGUAACACGUGGGCAACCUGCCUGUAAGACUGGGAUAACUUCGGGAAACCGGAGCUAAUACCGGAUAAUCCUUUUCUACACAUGUAGAAAAGCUGAAAGACGGUUUACGCUGUCACUUACAGAUGGGCCCGCGGCGCAUUAGCUAGUUGGUGAGGUAACGGCUCACCAAGGCAACGAUGCGUAGCCGACCUGAGAGGGUGAUCGGCCACACUGGGACUGAGACACGGCCCAGACUCCUACGGGAGGCAGCAGUAGGGAAUCUUCCGCAAUGGACGAAAGUCUGACGGAGCAACGCCGCGUGAGUGAUGAAGGUUUUCGGAUCGUAAAACUCUGUUGUUAGGGAAGAACAAGUACAAGAGUAACUGCUUGUACCUUGACGGUACCUAACCAGAAAGCCACGGCUAACUACGUGCCAGCAGCCGCGGUAAUACGUAGGUGGCAAGCGUUGUCCGGAAUUAUUGGGCGUAAAGCGCGCGCAGGCGGUCCUUUAAGUCUGAUGUGAAAGCCCACGGCUCAACCGUGGAGGGUCAUUGGAAACUGGGGGACUUGAGUGCAGAAGAGAAGAGUGGAAUUCCACGUGUAGCGGUGAAAUGCGUAGAGAUGUGGAGGAACACCAGUGGCGAAGGCGACUCUUUGGUCUGUAACUGACGCUGAGGCGCGAAAGCGUGGGGAGCAAACAGGAUUAGAUACCCUGGUAGUCCACGCCGUAAACGAUGAGUGCUAAGUGUUAGAGGGUUUCCGCCCUUUAGUGCUGCAGCAAACGCAUUAAGCACUCCGCCUGGGGAGUACGGCCGCAAGGCUGAAACUCAAAGGAAUUGACGGGGGCCCGCACAAGCGGUGGACCAUGUGGUUUAAUUCGAAGCAACGCGAAGAACCUUACCAGGUCUUGACAUCCUCUGACACUCCUAGAGAUAGGACGUUCCACUUCGGGGGACAGAGUGAC